AAUCAACGCUGGCGGCGUGCCUCAGACAUGCAAGUCGAACGAUUAAAGCUCUCUUCGGAGAGUGUAUAGAGUGGCGCACGGGUGAGUAACACGUAAGUAAUCUACCCUCGAGUGGGGAAUAACAACCGGAAACGGUUGCUAAUACCGCAUAAUGCAGCGGCACCGCAAGGUGACAGUUGUUAAAGAUUUAUCGCUUGAGGAGGAGCUUGCGGCAGAUUAGCUAGUUGGUAGGGUAACGGCUUACCAAGGCUACGAUCUGUAACCGGUCUAAGAGGACGGUCGGUCACACUGACACUGAAUAACGGGUCAGACUCCUACGGGAGGCAGCAGUCGGGAAUUUUGGGCAAUGGGCGAAAGCCUGACCCAGCAACGCCGCGUGAAGGAUGAAGUAUUUCGGUAUGUAAACUUCGAAAGAAUAGGAAGAAUUAAUGACGGUACUAUUUAUAAGGUCCGGCUAACUACGUGCCAGCAGCCGCGGUAAAGUAUCGU
This 489-nucleotide ribosomal RNA is filed under the name uncultured bacterium. RNAcentral's name for it is "bacterial SSU rRNA". It matches the Rfam family "Bacterial small subunit ribosomal RNA", at positions 32 to 528 of the family's 1533-position model. The record is from RNAcentral.